GACAGAGGUGCCAAGCGUUAGGCGGAAUCACUGGGCUUAAAGCGCGUGUAGGCGGCCCUGCAAGUCGGGUGUGAAAUCCCACGGCUCAACCGUGGAAGUGCACUCGAAACUGCAGGGCUAGAGUCCUGGAGAGGAAGGUGGAAUGCUUGGUGUAGAGGUGAAAUUCGUAGAUAUCAAGCGGAACACCGGUGGCGAAGGCGGCCUUCUGGACAGUGACUGACGCUGAGACGCGAAAGCGUGGGGAGCAAACAGG
Molecule: ribosomal RNA, 253 nt
Filed under: uncultured bacterium
Lineage: Bacteria
Description: partial 16S ribosomal RNA
Rfam family: Bacterial small subunit ribosomal RNA
Source: RNAcentral